AGGGACUUAGGAUAAUAUUAAACCAAGGGCCUUCAAAGCCCAAAAUAGAGGUGAAACCCCACUAGCCCCUG
This 71-nucleotide transfer RNA is filed under the name Leiocephalus onaneyi (Sierra curlytail lizard). RNAcentral describes it as "tRNA-Trp". It matches the Rfam family "tRNA". Rfam says of the family: Transfer RNA (tRNA) molecules are approximately 80 nucleotides in length. Their secondary structure includes four short double-helical elements and three loops (D, anti-codon, and T loops). Further hydrogen bonds mediate the characteristic L-shaped molecular structure. tRNAs have two regions of fundamental functional importance: the anti-codon, which is responsible for specific mRNA codon recognition, and the 3' end, to which the tRNAs corresponding amino acid is attached (by aminoacyl-tRNA synthetases). tRNAs cope with the degeneracy of the genetic code in two manners: having more than one tRNA (with a specific anti-codon) for a particular amino acid; and 'wobble' base-pairing, i.e. permitting non-standard base-pairing at the 3rd anti-codon position. Lineage: Eukaryota; Metazoa; Chordata; Lepidosauria; Squamata; Leiocephalidae. The record is from RNAcentral.